AGGGCGUCUGGAAUCCGCCCUUGAGGGGGGGGCUCUGUAACGUUUCUGGCACUGGGGCUGCUAAUUGCAAUCAACGCACCUGCGCUGCCUCCACCUCUACCGGCUUAUAAGCCCUGCGCCUCGCAGCCUCCAGUGCCAGAACGUCUCGAGCCAACCGGUGAGAACUUCCAGCAAUUAUUAUCAAACUGCCUGCCUGUCUGUUGCCCGACCUGUCUUUGCCUUCAUCUCUGAGCCAGCCUAGCCCUCUCCUGGAUUCUGUCUGCCCGCCUGAGCCCUGCUGUGUCAGCCUCUGGACCCCGGAUUGCCCUCCUGUGUUUUUGACCCCGCUAGCCCGUGAGUACUGGAACCUGCCUGUCCCUUAAUCAAUCUGUGCUCUCUGGAAACUGGAUCUUGGAACUGGACUCGGACCCUUCUUUGGAUUUCCCCUUGGAUUUGUCGCCUGGACGUAUUGGCCUUCCCCGUGACCGAACUCAGACUGCCCCUGGACGACGCCCCCCGGAUUUCCCUGUCGCUCGGCUUCCGACACGCUUUGGAGCAAGGACUCCUAAAGAAGUCAUCUCCCCAUCAGGAGUUGUCGGCCCGUAAGCACGAGCAGCACGUCCCGAAAGCCUCCGCUUCCCUGUUUUUUCAAUAAAAUCGGCUCAAGAGCCA
Molecule: long non-coding RNA, 651 nt
Organism: Fundulus heteroclitus (mummichog)
Lineage: Eukaryota; Metazoa; Chordata; Actinopteri; Cyprinodontiformes; Fundulidae
Exons: 2
Source: RefSeq, a predicted model, not a curated record